UGAUAAUUUGCUAAAUGCCUGUAACAUUUCAUUGUAUUUUAUAGCCGACUGAGCCAUCCCAAUAUUGUUCGACUCAUGGCUGCAGCCCGCACUGACAACGCCUUCCUGCUGGCCAAUGAGUAUAUACAUGGCACAACCCUGGAGGAUGCACUACACAAUGACCAUUCUUCUGUUAAGCUUGAAGGAGAUGACAGUUAUUUUGUUGCCCUCGACAUCUCGAUGGCCAUUGAGUACAUCCGUUCAAAAAAUGUCAUCCAUCAAGAUUUAAAGCCAGCCAAUGUUUU
Molecule: long non-coding RNA, 284 nt
Filed under: Sinocyclocheilus grahami
Lineage: Eukaryota; Metazoa; Chordata; Actinopteri; Cypriniformes; Cyprinidae
Description: lncRNA (ENSSGRG00000052738.1)
Source: RNAcentral